RNAcentral lists this long non-coding RNA (630 nucleotides) under Anser brachyrhynchus (Pink-footed goose). RNAcentral describes it as "lncRNA (ENSABRG00000010700.1)". Lineage: Eukaryota; Metazoa; Chordata; Aves; Anseriformes; Anatidae. The record is from RNAcentral.
GUUAACAGCAAAGUGGACGACUGGAGCACGGGUGGCAAUGAGCUGAACUCCUACACGCCAGCCAUUCACUGGGUCCUGUAAGCCCCUGAGCAGAGAGAAGGUGGGUUGCAUGACCACCAAUUCUGUAAAUAGCGGCCAAAGCCAACCAAGGCUCUGCAUAAACAACCAUAUGAUAACAAUCUUUGUCACUGAUGCCCUGGUUUAAUCCACCUGGAAAGACACAGCCUUCCUUGUUGCACAGACUUUACACCAGUGUCGUUUUCCAGCACAACAGGUCCAGGAGCCAAGGCAGCAGUGUGACCCCCGUCAGCUUCAUGGGCCAGGGAGAUGUCAAAUCCAGAAACCAGGAGAUGCUAUGGUCAUGCCUCUGCCCAGGGAGUCUGCCUCUGCUGCCUAUGCUCUUCUGUAGGGACUUGUAUUAACCAGAGAGGAUUGUGGUCAGGAUGGCACUUCUUUAAAGAGCCAUCAUGAAGCUGAGGGGCAGCACCUCAAACCGUGCACAGUGUUCAGAACGGCUCCGUCUUCACCUCUGGAGUAGCAAGGUUGCAAUGAAAAUGCACGGGAGACCCUCACCUGUGUCAGGUCUGCUGUGAGCCAUUCUAAUAAACAGCACGUUUUUCUUCCCUCUCA